CUUCAUCCCCUCCCUACACCGCCAACUAACUACAGAUGACAUUAUUCCUCAAUACUCCCAACCCGAGAGUGAAGAACAAGCUCCAGUUUCCUGCGGUCUGGUCUCUCUCUCCUUCUGUUUGCCUUCCUCGGUUCCCCCGCCCCAACACUCCAGGUGUGUAGACUUCCUCCCCGUCCCCUACUCAAGCAUCGCUCCAACCAAUCCCACGCCACACCACGAGUCCCCCGCCAUAGGGAUCACACUCCUCCACACCCACCUCCACUCGGGGUCGCCGCCGCCUCCCCGGACGUUUCUCUCCACCCCUCGCUAGCGAGCCCGAGAACACGGGCGCGCGCGCACAGACAUUCUCACGCUUCCCCAACCUCCCUCCGCGCACCGGGACUGGCCGGCUUCUCCAGAGCUCAGCCAGACACUAUCCAGGUUAUGAUGAAAACCACAGUGAAAGAGACCUGGUCCCUGUCUUGAACGAACCCACUUGCUGGUAGAGAUUUCAGAAUAACGAUUAGGAUACAAUAUAAGGGAUACCGUAAUUGAGGUAAGAACAAAGUAGGAACACAUGAGGUGAAGACACACUGAGAAAGUGCCUAUGAACCAGAUCCUUACCAGACACUGAAUCUGCUGGUGCCUUCAUUUGGACUUCCUAGCCUCCAGAACUUUGAGAAAUUGCUGCUGCUUAUAAACCACCAAGUUUGUGAUACUUCAUUAUAGCAGCCUGAAUAGGCUAAAGCAAUUAUAAAUGCCACUAAAAUCACUUGUCCUUAGAAACACUUUUUAUUUGGAGUAGAAGCAACAAAAGAGAUUUCCCAGCAGUAUCAUUCUCUGGGGUUGAUUAUCAAGUGAAUUAACCAAGGGGAGCUAAUAUGAGAUACUAGCUAGUAUGUUCCAGUGCAAGUACUUUUUGUUUUUGUUUUUUUGUUUUUUUUUUUUUUUUGAGACAGAAUUUCACUU
Long non-coding RNA from Cebus imitator (Panamanian white-faced capuchin), 948 nucleotides. RefSeq lists it as uncharacterized. The transcript is spliced from 3 exons. Lineage: Eukaryota; Metazoa; Chordata; Mammalia; Primates; Cebidae. The record is from RefSeq and is a predicted model, not a curated record.